RNAcentral lists this ribosomal RNA (483 nucleotides) under uncultured bacterium. RNAcentral's name for it is "partial 16S ribosomal RNA". It matches the Rfam family "Bacterial small subunit ribosomal RNA", at positions 30 to 506 of the family's 1533-position model. The record is from RNAcentral.
AUUGAACGCUGGCGGCAGGCCUAACACAUGCAAGUCGAGCGGAUGAAGGGAGCUUGCUCCUGGAUUCAGCGGCGGACGGGUGAGUAAUGCCUAGGAAUCUGCCUGGUAGUGGGGGAUAACGUCCGGAAACGGGCGCUAAUACCGCAUACGUCCUGAGGGAGAAAGUGGGGGAUCUUCGGACCUCACGCUAUCAGAUGAGCCUAGGUCGGAUUAGCUAGUUGGUGGGGUAAAGGCCUACCAAGGCGACGAUCCGUAACUGGUCUGAGAGGAUGAUCAGUCACACUGGAACUGAGACACGGUCCAGACUCCUACGGGAGGCAGCAGUGGGGAAUAUUGGAAAAUGGGCGAAAGCCUGAUCCAGCCAUGCCGCGUGUGUGAAGAAGGUCUUCGGAUUGUAAAGCACGUUAAGUUGGGAGGAAGGGCAGUAAGUUAAUACCUUGCUGUUUUGACGUUACCAACAGAAUAAGCACCGGCUAACUUCGU